AGUUUGAAUCCUGGCUCAGGACGAACGCUGGCGGCGUGCUUAACACAUGCAAGUCGAACGGAAAGGCCUCUUCGGAGGUACUCGAGUGGCGAACGGGUGAGUAACACGUGGGUAAUCUGCCCUGCACUUCGGGAUAAGCCUGGGAAACUGGGUCUAAUACCGGAUAUGACCACGGAACGCAUGUUUUGUGGUGGAAAGCUUUUGCGGUGUGGGAUGGGCCCGCGGCCUAUCAGCUUGUUGGUGGGGUGACGGCCUACCAAGGCGACGACGGGUAGCCGGCCUGAGAGGGUGUCCGGCCACACUGGGACUGAGAUACGGCCCAGACUCCUACGGGAGGCAGCAGUGGGGAAUAUUGCACAAUGGGCGCAAGCCUGAUGCAGCGACGCCGCGUGGGGGAUGACGGCCUUCGGGUUGUAAACCUCUUUCAGCAGGGACGAAGCGCAAGUGACGGUACCUGCAGAAGAAGCACCGGCCAACUACGUGCCAGCAGCCGCGGUAAUACGUAGGGUGCGAGCGUUGUCCGGAAUUACUGGGCGUAAAGAGCUCGUAGGUGGUUUGUCGCGUUGUUCGUGAAAACCGGGGGCUUAACCCUCGGCGUGCGGGCGAUACGGGCAGACUGGAGUACUGCAGGGGAGACUGGAAUUCCUGGUGUAGCGGUGGAAUGCGCAGAUAUCAGGAGGAACACCGGUGGCGAAGGCGGGUCUCUGGGCAGUAACUGACGCUGAGGAGCGAAAGCGUGGGGAGCGAACAGGAUUAGAUACCCUGGUAGUCCACGCCGUAAACGGUGGGUACUAGGUGUGGGUUUCCUUCCUUGGAAUCCGUGCCGUAGCUAACGCAUUAAGUACCCCGCCUGGGGAGUACGGCCGCAAGGCUAAAACUCAAAGGAAUUGACGGGGGCCCGCACAAGCGGCGGAGCAUGUGGAUUAAUUCGAUGCGACGCGAAGAACCUUACCUGGGUUUGACAUGCACAGGACGCCGGCAGAGAUGUCGGUUCCCUUGUGGCCUGGUGUGCA
This 1013-nucleotide ribosomal RNA is filed under the name Mycobacterium genavense. RNAcentral's name for it is "bacterial SSU rRNA". It matches the Rfam family "Bacterial small subunit ribosomal RNA", at positions 10 to 1036 of the family's 1533-position model. The record is from RNAcentral. Lineage: Bacteria; Bacillati; Actinomycetota; Actinomycetes; Mycobacteriales; Mycobacteriaceae.